Molecule: long non-coding RNA, 323 nt
Organism: Harmonia axyridis
Lineage: Eukaryota; Metazoa; Arthropoda; Insecta; Coleoptera; Coccinellidae
Exons: 3
Source: RefSeq, a predicted model, not a curated record
AUAAAUAUGUUUCUAUAUGUUCUUCUCUAGGUGAUAGAUGUUCAAUUGUUAAAUUAUGUUGUGGUGAAGUCUCAGUUGAAUAGGUAGUAGAUGGAGAAAGUAUAAGUUGAUCUUGAGGAACUAGAACUUUCUGGAAAAUUUCGGUUCUUUCAGAUGAUAGAAUUCGAGUCCCUUCGUGGUCCAAAAAAGUGAUUUGCUUCCUGUUGCUGAGUUUCUCCAGCAAAAUCUCGUGAUCGACAGAGUCGAAAGCUCUCGAAAAGUCCACGAAGAGCCCCGCAGGUACUCGACCUUCCUCAAGAAGAAAAGUUAUCUUUCGUAUGAAU